Molecule: ribosomal RNA, 470 nt
Filed under: Aeromonas caviae
Lineage: Bacteria; Pseudomonadati; Pseudomonadota; Gammaproteobacteria; Aeromonadales; Aeromonadaceae
Also listed under: 3 other names
Description: partial 16S ribosomal RNA
Rfam family: Bacterial small subunit ribosomal RNA
Source: RNAcentral
AAAUUGAAGAGUUUGAUCAUGGCUCAGAUUGAACGCUGGCGGCAGGCCUAACACAUGCAAGUCGAGCGGCAGCGGGAAAGUAGCUUGCUACUUUUGCCGGCGAGCGGCGGACGGGUGAGUAAUGCCUGGGAAAUUGCCCAGUCGAGGGGGAUAACAGUUGGAAACGACUGCUAAUACCGCAUACGCCCUACGGGGGAAAGCAGGGGACCUUCGGGCCUUGCGCGAUUGGAUAUGCCCAGGUGGGAUUAGCUAGUUGGUGAGGUAAUGGCUCACCAAGGCGACGAUCCCUAGCUGGUCUGAGAGGAUGAUCAGCCACACUGGAACUGAGACACGGUCCAGACUCCUACGGGAGGCAGCAGUGGGGAAUAUUGCACAAUGGGGGAAACCCUGAUGCAGCCAUGCCGCGUGUGUGAAGAAGGCCUUCGGGUUGUAAAGCACUUUCAGCGAGGAGGAAAGGUCAGUAGCUAAUA